GAAGAUGUUAUGAUGAUGUCAUAGUAGCAUGUCAAACGGAAGACGCUAUGGUGAUGUUACUUGACCGGAAGAGGGGGGUGCCUGUGAGACAAGGUGUGAGAUCAUAUGAGGUGAUUUAACCAGGUCAUUUAAAAGACUCCGGGGUCCUUGGGCAACUCACUGGACUGCCUCUUCUUGUCCCUCCUCAGCUAUCAGAAGGGCUUUGCUGAGAGGAGAAGGUGGCUGUGACAGAACGGCAGCCCUGUAAGGAUGCUGUGAGAGACCCUCCCGGAGGCUCCACUGCGUUGUGGGACACGGAAGUUUCCAUGGGAAGUACCGAUCUCGCCCUGCCCACUUGGUUUCACGCUGCAUACUGUGCUGAGGACGGAGCUGGCAUUUCAGCGUGAACACUAAGUGGUGACUCAGAACCAACAGAAGUGUGGACCGCUGUUUACUCAAAAGGAAGCCUCUGGUGUGACAAACGAGAGUGGGCUGCAACAUUGUGCAGGACUCAUGAGCCAAGCGGCUUGGAAAUAGCACAUACCACCGCGGCAGGUGAUUCAUCUCUCGUUCGAUCUUCUCAGGCAGGGCAUCAGACGCCAGCCCAGGCAGACCCAGAGCCGGCCGGGGGGAUGCUCGGUGCCUAAGUACUGUGGACAUCCUUAGUUUCCUAUGACACUGCCACUGACUUUGACGGUUCUGUGCGAGCGUAACACUUUCAGUCUAAUUAACCAUGUUGAACCAACCCGACCACCCCCCCCCGUGCCCCCCACACAGAGUGAAAAUUGUAAAGUUCAAAGGUCACACGUGAAUUUUCAGCUCACCAGAAGGUCCCUUAAUCUUUUUCUUGGAAUAUUUAAGGAAGAAAAAAAUAUAUUGAAAUCGAUCCGGUAGAAGGGAGCAAAGGGGUACGGGUAAUAAGGUAGUGUCUCAGGCCUCGAGCUAGCUCAGCUUCAGAGAUGGCCCAAACUUCCUCUGUAGGCCAGAGGCGACAGAGAUACUCAGUACAAAGAUCAGGAUUUGAAGCCUGUCCCUGGCACAGAUGGCAGGGGCAGCUCUGACUGGAUCCAAAUCUUUCCUAGUUAAUGCUUCCGGUCCCCCAAGUAGAGGCCAUAGUACUGCCCACCCCCCGCAGAGGCUGUGAAGCUCACAGCAUGGGCAUGAAACAGUGCUACUGUGGGUUGCACAGUAGGUACCCAACAAAUGACAGCCGAUUCUAUGAGGAUCAGGAAUCCAGCAAUGCUGGAUGUUGGGAAAGGCACUCAGCAUGACACUGCAAGGGACAUCUGAAGCUGCACUUGAAGGUGUCAGGGGCUUUUCCACCUCCACAUUGUUCUGUGGUUCUCAGACCUGUGAGGAACAGCCCUGUCUGCAGAGGAGAAAACUGAUGGAAUGAGGCUUGAGAACAUUUAGACACAGGUCUGCUUCCACACUCAUUGAGGUUGCUUCCUGCUGGGUAACAAAGUGCUUCCCCUCAGAAGAACCAGAGGUCGGUCUGCCGUCUGGAACUGGCUCGGAGGGCUCUCAGGAGACUGAUAUGUCUUCAACCCCAUCAUCCUCUCUACCAAGGGUUAUUCAGCAGUUACUAGUUGCAAUGGAUUCAUUCCUCCUUCCUCUUCCUCCCUCCCUUCUUUCCAACCUUCUUCCCUUCCUCCCUCCUUUCCUGUUUGGGGAAGAAGCACAGAAGAAGAAAGCCCAAAUGAAGGCUUACAGCAAUCACUGAUGGAGGAGAGAAAGCUUUCUAACCUGUCCUUCACUAUUUCUGACUAUUGUGUAAUAGGAGCUUUGUCUAACAUCCCUCAAAGGACUAUCAGGAAAUGGCACGCUGUGGCUAAUGUGUGUGCAGGGGAACCCUGGAGAAGGCUUCGAAGAAGGGAGUGCUUAGAAGAGGUAUCUUGACUACCCCGGACUCACCGGACACCAGGAGAUUGACAAAUGCGUCCUCAAGAACUGCGCAUACUAGGACAGAACACUGGAUGGGUACUGAAUGUACCCAGUGAAGUUAUAAGACUGGCUCGCUAAGCUGGAUAAGAGACGCAAAUAUUGAAUUAAUAGUCUAGGCAUACAUGCACAUGCUCACGCACAUGCACACACUCAUAAGUAGCAGUAGUAUCCUUCUGUCCCACCAGUGAGACCUCAUACAAUGCUACGGGGUAGCUGUCCGAGACCAUGAGUCCCUGAACAGAGAGGCCUAGGGCCAGCCACACCCAGCUUCCCUGGGAAGCCGUUUCCAUCUUAAGCUCCAACCCUUCAGCAUGACAUAACCUUUCUAUGGUGAAGAAAAAAAAAAAAGGCGAGCCUCAAGGGAAGUCCCUUGGCUUUCUGCAUGAGACUAAAUAAAGUCUGUGCUGGAAAACAUG
RNAcentral lists this small RNA (2339 nucleotides) under Rattus norvegicus (Norway rat). RNAcentral's name for it is "uncharacterized LOC102550965". Lineage: Eukaryota; Metazoa; Chordata; Mammalia; Rodentia; Muridae. The record is from RNAcentral.